This 500-nucleotide ribosomal RNA is filed under the name uncultured bacterium. RNAcentral describes it as "bacterial SSU rRNA". It matches the Rfam family "Bacterial small subunit ribosomal RNA", at positions 396 to 911 of the family's 1533-position model. The record is from RNAcentral.
GCCGCGUGGGUGAUGAAGGCCUUCGGGUUGUAAAACCCUUUUCUGGGGGAAGAGGAAGGACGGUACCUCAGGAAUAAGCCUCGGCUAACUACGUGCCAGCAGCCGCGGUAAAACGUAGGAGGCGAGCGUUAUCCGGAUUUACUGGGCGUAAAGCGCGUGCAGGCGGUUCUGUAAGUUGGAGGUUAAAUCUCUUGGCUCAACUAAGAGGCGUCCUUCAGAACUGCAGGACUUGAGGAUGGGAGAGGGAAGUGGAAUUCCAGGUGUAGUGGUGGAAUGCGUAGAUAUCUGGAGGAACACCAGUGGCGAAGGCGGCUUCCUGGCCCAUUUCUGACGCUAAGACGCGAAAGCGUGGGGAGCGAACGGGAUUAGAUACCCCGGUAGUCCACGCUGUAAACGAUGGAUACUAGGUGUCGGUGGUAUUGACCCCACCGGUGCCGUAGCUAACGCGUUAAGUAUCCCGCCUGGGGACUACGGCCGCAAGGCUAAAACUCAAAGGAAUU